CACGUAGGGUGCGAGCGUUGUCCGGAAUUAUUGGGCGUAAAGAGCUCGUAGGCGGCUUGUUGCGUCAGCUGUGAAAACCCGCAGCUCAACUGCGGGCUUGCAGCUGAUACGGGCAGGCUUGAGUUCGGUAGGGGAGACUGGAAUUCCUGGUGUAGCGGUGAAAUGCGCAGAUAUCAGGAGGAACACCGGUGGCGAAGGCGGGUCUCUGGGCCGAUACUGACGCUGAGGAGCGAAAGCGUGGGGAGCGAACAGG
Molecule: ribosomal RNA, 253 nt
Filed under: uncultured bacterium
Lineage: Bacteria
Description: partial 16S ribosomal RNA
Rfam family: Bacterial small subunit ribosomal RNA
Source: RNAcentral